Molecule: small nucleolar RNA, 156 nt
Filed under: Schizosaccharomyces pombe (fission yeast)
Lineage: Eukaryota; Fungi; Ascomycota; Schizosaccharomycetes; Schizosaccharomycetales; Schizosaccharomycetaceae
Source: RNAcentral
AUUGCAGGUUAUCAUGGCUUUGAAAUGCAUAACUUCACAUUCUUCGCCAUAAACGUCUUGCAUAGAAUAAAGCAUCAGCUUUACAAGCUGCCUCUUUGCAGAUCGUUCUGUAUGUUUGUAUUAGUCGAUAGAACGAUUUGAUAAGAGGAAACAAAC